Long non-coding RNA from Diceros bicornis minor, 489 nucleotides. RefSeq lists it as uncharacterized. The transcript has 3 exons. NCBI's taxonomy places the organism in Eukaryota, Metazoa, Chordata, Mammalia, Perissodactyla, Rhinocerotidae. The record is from RefSeq and is a predicted model, not a curated record.
UGAGUUAUGCCUGAAGUGCAUGACUUGAUCUUUAUUUUUAAUACUAUGGCCUUGGUACAGGUUGAACUUCAAAAACUAUCAUUAUGUCCUGGUCUUUGUUUUUGCCAUCGAGGAGAUCAACAGGAGCCCCCAGCUGCUCCCCACCCUGUCUCUGGGUUUCCAUGUCUACAAUUCCUUCCACAGUGAUGUCAGCACCUUGGUGAGCACCCUGAGGUGGUUAUCGGGAUGGGGUCAGAUGAUCCCUAAUUACACCUGCCAGGCACAGAACAAGAAUGUGGCUGUCACUGCAGGAACCACACCAGCAUUCUCUGCCCACAUUGGGACACUGUUGGAGCUCUACAAAAUACCACAGAGAACUCAAUAUGGAACACUUUUUCUCUUUUGAUUCAGACAACCUAUGGAGAUUUUGAUCCUGUACUGAAAGGAACUGAAUGUGGAAAUUUUUGGAGUGUCCAUUCAAUGCCUCCCUGGAGUCUCUGCCAAAGGAAA